UCCUACGGGAGGCAGCAGUAGGGAAUCUUCCGCAAUGGACGAAAGUCUGACGGAGCAACGCCGCGUGAGUGAUGAAGGCUUUCGGGUCGUAAAACUCUGUUGUUAGGGAAGAACAAGUGCUAGUUGAAUAAGCUGGCACCUUGACGGUACCUAACCAGAAAGCCACGGCUAACUACGUGCCAGCAGCCGCGGUAAUACGUAGGUGGCAAGCGUUAUCCGGAGUUAUUGGGCGUAAAGCGCGCGCAGGUGGUUUCUUAAGUCUGAUGUGAAAGCCCACGGCUCAACCGUGGAGGGUCAUUGGAAACUGGGAGACUUGAGUGCAGAAGAGGAAAGUGGAAUUCCAUGUGUAGCGGUGAAAUGCGUAGAGAUAUGGAGGAACACCAGUGGCGAAGGCGACUUUCUGGUCUGUAACUGACACUGAGGCGCGAAAGCGUGGGGAGCAAACAGGAUUAGAUACCCUGGUAGUCCACGCCGUAAACGAUGAGUGCUAAGUGUUAGAGGGUUUCCGCCCUUUAGUGCUGAAGUUAACGCAUUAAGCACUCCGCCUGGGGAGUACGGCCGCAAGGCUGAAACUCAAAGG
This 580-nucleotide ribosomal RNA is filed under the name uncultured bacterium. RNAcentral describes it as "bacterial SSU rRNA". It matches the Rfam family "Bacterial small subunit ribosomal RNA", at positions 337 to 907 of the family's 1533-position model. The record is from RNAcentral.